Molecule: ribosomal RNA, 803 nt
Filed under: uncultured Propionibacterium sp.
Lineage: Bacteria; Bacillati; Actinomycetota; Actinomycetes; Propionibacteriales; Propionibacteriaceae
Description: bacterial SSU rRNA
Rfam family: Bacterial small subunit ribosomal RNA
Source: RNAcentral
GACGGUAAUGGGUAAAGAAGCACCGGCUAACUACGUGCCAGCAGCCGCGGUGAUACGUAGGGUGCGAGCGUUGUCCGGAUUUAUUGGGCGUAAAGGGCUCGUAGGUGGUUGAUCGCGUCGGAAGUGUAAUCUUGGGGCUUAACCCUGAGCGUGCUUUCGAUACGGGUUGACUUGAGGAAGGUAGGGGAGAAUGGAAUUCCUGGUGGAGCGGUGGAAUGCGCAGAUAUCAGGAGGAACACCAGUGGCGAAGGCGGUUCUCUGGGCCUUUCCUGACGCUGAGGAGCGAAAGCGUGGGGAGCGAACAGGCUUAGAUACCCUGGUAGUCCACGCUGUAAACGGUGGGUACUAGGUGUGGGGUCCAUUCCACGGGUUCCGUGCCGUAGCUAACGCUUUAAGUACCCCGCCUGGGGAGUACGGCCGCAAGGCUAAAACUCAAAGGAAUUGACGGGGCCCCGCACAAGCGGCGGAGCAUGCGGAUUAAUUCGAUGCAACGCGUAGAACCUUACCUGGGUUUGACAUGGAUCGGGAGCGCUCAGAGAUGGGUGUGCCUCUUUUGGGGUCGGUUCACAGGUGGUGCAUGGCUGUCGUCAGCUCGUGUCGUGAGAUGUUGGGUUAAGUCCCGCAACGAGCGCAACCCUUGUUCACUGUUGCCAGCACGUUAUGGUGGGGACUCAGUGGAGACCGCCGGGGUCAACUCGGAGGAAGGUGGGGAUGACGUCAAGUCAUCAUGCCCCUUAUGUCCAGGGCUUCACGCAUGCUACAAUGGCUGGUACAGAGAGUGGCGAGCCUGUGAGGGUGAGCGA